UUAGCGGCGGACGGGUGAGUAACACGGUGGGUAACCUGCCCAUAAAACUGGGAUAACUCCGGGAAACCGGGGCUAAUACCGGAUAACAUUUUGAACCGCAUGGUUCGAAAUUGAAAGGCGGCUUCGGCUGUCACUUAUGGAUGGACCCGCGUCGCAUUAGCUAGUUGGUGAGGUAACGGCUCACCAAGGCAACGAUGCGUAACCGACCUGAGAGGGUGAUCGGCCACACUGGGACUGAGACACGGCCCAAACUCCUACGGGAGGCAGCAGUAGGGAAUCUUCCGCAAUGGACGAAAGUCUGACGGAGCAACGCCCCGUGAGUGAUGAAGGCUUUCGGGUCGUAAAACUCUGUUGUUAGGGAAGAACAAGUGGUAGUUGAAUAAGCUGGCACCUUGACGGU
RNAcentral lists this ribosomal RNA (400 nucleotides) under Bacillus sp. (in: firmicutes). RNAcentral describes it as "bacterial SSU rRNA". It matches the Rfam family "Bacterial small subunit ribosomal RNA", at positions 92 to 476 of the family's 1533-position model. Lineage: Bacteria; Bacillati; Bacillota; Bacilli; Caryophanales; Bacillaceae. The record is from RNAcentral.